Molecule: ribosomal RNA, 245 nt
Filed under: uncultured bacterium
Lineage: Bacteria
Description: partial small subunit ribosomal RNA
Rfam family: Bacterial small subunit ribosomal RNA
Source: RNAcentral
AGAAUCAACGCUGGCGGCGUGCCUAACACAUGCAAGUCGCGCGAGAAAGGGGCUUCGGCUCUGAGUAAAGUGGCGCACGGGUGAGUAACACGUGAAUUAUCUACCUCCGAGUGGGGAAUAACUGAGAGAAAUCUUAGCUAAUACCGCAUAACACUUACGAGUCAAAGCAGCAAUGCGCUUGGAAAGGAGUUCGCGGCCGAUUAGUUAGUUGGCGGGGUAAUGGCCCACCAAGACGAUGAUCGGUA